Molecule: ribosomal RNA, 253 nt
Filed under: uncultured bacterium
Lineage: Bacteria
Description: partial 16S ribosomal RNA
Rfam family: Bacterial small subunit ribosomal RNA
Source: RNAcentral
UACAGAGGGUGCGAGCGUUGUUCGGAAUUACUGGGCGUAAAGAGCGCGCAGGCGGUCGAUCAAGUCGCGUGUGAAAGCCCCCGGCUCAACUGGGGAGGGUCACGCGAUACUGAUCGACUCGAAGGCAGGAGAGGGUAGUGGAAUUCCCGGUGUAGUGGUGAAAUGCGUAGAUAUCGGGAGGAACACCAGUGGCGAAGGCGACUACCUGGCCUGUUCUUGACGCUGAGGCGCGAAAGCUAGGGGAGCAAACGGG